RNAcentral lists this ribosomal RNA (514 nucleotides) under uncultured bacterium. RNAcentral describes it as "partial 16S ribosomal RNA". It matches the Rfam family "Bacterial small subunit ribosomal RNA", at positions 29 to 523 of the family's 1533-position model. The record is from RNAcentral.
AACGAACGCUGGCAGAAUGCUUAACACAUGCAAGUCGAACGCGAAAGUCUUUCGGGAUGAGUAAAGUGGCGCACGGGUGAGUAACACGUAGGUGACCUGCCGUUUAGAGGGGGAUAACCAGAAGAAAUUUUGGCUAAUACCCCAUACGAACCACAAACUUAAAUAUAGUGGUUGAAAGGAUGCCUCUGCAUAUGCAUCUCCUAAACGAUGGGCCUGCGGUACAUUAGGUAGUUGGAGGGGUAAUGGCCUACCAAGCCAACGAUGUAUAACGGAGCUGAGAGGAUGAUCCGUCACACUGGAACUGAGACACGGUCCAGACUCCUACGGGAGGCAGCAGUGGGGAAUAUUGGACAAUGGGCGAAAGCCUGAUCCAGCAAUUCUGCGUGAGUGAGGAAGGACUUCGGUCUGUAAAGCUCUGUUAAUGUGGAAAAAUGGCAUGUGGUCUAAUAGGCCAUGUGUUUGAUGGUACGCAUAGAGGAAGCACCGGCUAACUUCGUGCCAGCAGCCGCAGUAA